RNAcentral lists this transfer RNA (86 nucleotides) under Deltaproteobacteria bacterium. RNAcentral describes it as "tRNA-Leu". It matches the Rfam family "tRNA". From Rfam's summary of the family: Transfer RNA (tRNA) molecules are approximately 80 nucleotides in length. Their secondary structure includes four short double-helical elements and three loops (D, anti-codon, and T loops). Lineage: Bacteria; Pseudomonadati; Myxococcota; Myxococcia. The record is from RNAcentral.
GGGGCAGUGGUGGAACCGGUAGACACACGGGACUUAAAAUCCCGGGCUCUUUGAGCGUGUGAGUUCGAGCCUCACCUGCCCCACCC